Molecule: long non-coding RNA, 217 nt
Filed under: Elaeis guineensis (African oil palm)
Lineage: Eukaryota; Viridiplantae; Streptophyta; Magnoliopsida; Arecales; Arecaceae
Description: long non-coding RNA (EGUI_LNC031740)
Source: RNAcentral
CCCUUAAAAAUUUUACUAUAAUCCCUCUGAUUACAAUGUGUUUAUUUUUUUGAACUCACAAAUAAAUCCAGUUCAUUUUUCAGGAUCUCCAACCAAAAUCUUACAUCGAUUAUUUUUUGGGCUCACAAUCAACCCAUUUGGUUUUUUUAGAUCACCAACCAAAAUGUACAAUAUCCAAUUCCAGGCUUGGACAGGCCUUACCCCAAGUUUCUUUUCC